This 369-nucleotide ribosomal RNA is filed under the name uncultured organism. Its description in RNAcentral is "bacterial SSU rRNA". It matches the Rfam family "Bacterial small subunit ribosomal RNA", at positions 526 to 896 of the family's 1533-position model. The record is from RNAcentral.
CGUAGGGUGCAAGCGUUAAUCGGAAUUACUGGGCGUAAAGCGUGCGCAGGCGGUUGUGUAAGUCUGUCGUGAAAUCCCCGGGCUCAACCUGGGAAUUGCGAUGGAGACUGCACGGCUAGAGUGUGUCAGAGGGGGUAGAAUUCCACGUGUAGCAGUGAAAUGCGUAGAUAUGUGGAGGAACACCGAUGGCGAAGGCAGCCCCCUGGGAUAACACUGACGCUCAUGCACGAAAGCGUGGGGAGCAAACAGGAUUAGAUACCCUGGUAGUCCACGCCCUAAACGAUGUCUACUAGUUGUCGGGUCUUAAUUGACUUGGUAACGCAGCUAACGCGUGAAGUAGACCGCCUGGGGAGUACGGUCGCAAGAUUA